This is a non-coding RNA of Pelobates cultripes (western spadefoot toad), 223 nucleotides long. The record is from the annotation of a GenBank genome assembly. Lineage: Eukaryota; Metazoa; Chordata; Amphibia; Anura; Pelobatidae.
GUCAGUGUCAGGAGUACGUCGUCAGCAUAGGCUGCCGCGACAAAUUCCCUCCCUCCCAAUUUGACCCCUUGAAUAUUGGGAUCUUGCCUAAUUGCUUGCAGCAGCGGCUCCAAAGCCAUGACAAACAGCAAGGAGGACAGGGGGCAGCCCUGUCUGGUGCCGUUAUGUAAUCUAAAGGGCGAAGGGGGUGCGCCAGUGAUCUGCACCUGCGCUCUCACGUUGC